RNAcentral lists this ribosomal RNA (1370 nucleotides) under Legionella pneumophila. RNAcentral describes it as "partial 23S ribosomal RNA". It matches the Rfam family "Bacterial large subunit ribosomal RNA", at positions 1564 to 2925 of the family's 2925-position model. Lineage: Bacteria; Pseudomonadati; Pseudomonadota; Gammaproteobacteria; Legionellales; Legionellaceae. The record is from RNAcentral.
CGAAGUGGUUCUGACCUUUUGGUACAGAGAAGUCAUUGAUGCCCGGCUUCCAGGAAAAGCUGCUAGCCAUAACUUAUAGAGAACCGUACCGCAAACCGACACAGGUGGACAGGUAGAGAAUACUAAGGCGCUUGAGAGAACUCGGGUGAAGGAACUAGGCAAAAUGGUACCGUAACUUCGGGAGAAGGUACGCCCUUUCUGGUGAUGGGAUUUACUUUCAGAGCUGGAGAGGGCCGCAGAGACCAGGUGGCUGCGACUGUUUAUUAAAAACACAGCACUCUGCAAAUUCGUAAGAAGACGUAUAGGGUGUGACGCCUGCCCGGUGCCGGAAGGUUAAUUGAUGGGGUUAUCUUCGGAGAAGCUCUUGAUCGAAGCCCCGGUAAACGGCGGCCGUAACUAUAACGGUCCUAAGGUAGCGAAAUUCCUUGUCGGGUAAGUUCCGACCUGCACGAAUGGCGUAACGAUGGCCACACUGUCUCCACCCGAGACUCAGUGAAAUUGAAAUCGCUGUGAAGAUGCAGUGUACCCGCGGCUAGACGGAAAGACCCCGUGAACCUUUACUAUAGUUUUGCACUGGACUUUGAUGAUGACUGUGUAGGAUAGGUGGGAGGCUGUGAAGUGAGGACGCUAGUUCUCAUGGAGCCGCCCUUGAAAUACCACCCUGUUGUUAUUGAGGUUCUAACUUGGUCCAGUAAUCCUGGAUGAGGACAGUGUAUGAUGGGUAGUUUGACUGGGGCGGUCUCCUCCCAAAGAGUAACGGAGGAGCACAAAGGUACCCUCGGUACGGUCGGACAUCGUACCAAGAGUGUAAAGGCAAAAGGGUGCUUGACUGCGAGAGUGACGGCUCGAGCAGGAACGAAAGUUGGUCUUAGUGAUCCGGUGGUUCUGAAUGGAAGGGCCAUCGCUCAACGGAUAAAAGGUACUCCGGGGAUAACAGGCUGAUACCGCCCAAGAGUUCAUAUCGACGGCGGUGUUUGGCACCUCGAUGUCGGCUCAUCACAUCCUGGGGCUGAAGCAGGUCCCAAGGGUAUGGCUGUUCGCCAUUUAAAGUGGUACGCGAGCUGGGUUUAGAACGUCGUGAGACAGUUCGGUCCCUAUCUGCCGUGGGCGUAGGAAAAUUGAGAGGAGCUGCUCCUAGUACGAGAGGACCGGAGUGGACGAACCUCUGGUGCACCGGUUGUCACGCCAGUGGCAUGGCCGGGUAGCUAAGUUCGGACGGGAUAACCGCUGAAAGCAUCUAAGCGGGAAGCCUCCCUCAAGAUGAGUUUUCCCAUGAAGCCCGUUGAAGACUACGACGUUGAUAGGCAAGGUGUGGAAGCGCAGUAAUGCGUGAAGCUAACUUGUACUAAUUGGCUGAUUGUCUUGACCAU